GACAGAGGGUGCAAACGUUGUUCGGAAUUACUGGGCGUAAAGCGAGUGUAGGCGGUCUCCUAAGUCGGGUGUGAAAGCCCCGGGCUCAACCCGGGAAGUGCACUCGAAACUGGGAGGCUAGAGUAUCGGAGAGGUUGGUGGAAUUCUCGGUGUAGAGGUGAAAUUCGUAGAGACCCGGAGGAACACCGGUGGCGAAGGCGGCUUCCUGGUCUGCAACUGACGCUGUGGCGCGAAAGCUAGGGGAGCAAACGGG
This 253-nucleotide ribosomal RNA is filed under the name uncultured bacterium. RNAcentral's name for it is "partial 16S ribosomal RNA". It matches the Rfam family "Bacterial small subunit ribosomal RNA", at positions 524 to 776 of the family's 1533-position model. The record is from RNAcentral.